This is a long non-coding RNA of Egretta garzetta (little egret), 144 nucleotides long. RefSeq lists it as uncharacterized. The transcript has 3 exons. The record is from RefSeq and is a predicted model, not a curated record. NCBI's taxonomy places the organism in Eukaryota, Metazoa, Chordata, Aves, Pelecaniformes, Ardeidae.
GACACGCUGCGCCAGGAGGGCUUCGACCUGGUGCUUCUCCAGGAGGUGUGGAGUGAGCAGGAUUACAGCGACCUGAAGGUGAAGCUGGGAGGCUGCUACCCCUUCUCCCAUUACUUCCGCAGCGGGGUGAUCGGCAGCGGCCUC